UCUCCCGCCUCUCAGCUGAUCGGCGGGUGGGCGGGGCUUCCACGGAGGCCUGGUGUAGGCCUCUGUGAAGCCUGAACUGCAGUAGGGCCCGAGCCAGCCAGGAAGGAGGAGGCAGCCAGACUGGCCACCACUGUUCUCUGCAGCAGAAGACCCCUGCGGAACCCAGCAUUUGCCAGUGGAGUCUUCCUGGGUCUUCUUCCAUUGAGCCCACUGUCACUCAAAAAGUGAUGGAUGGAGUGAUCAGACACUGAUGGACCUUGACCUUGGAGUUCAGCUUGUAUCUCUUUGGAAGUUGUCCUUGGCUUUUUGUCUACCAUUCUCACCAUCCUUCUGCCCAUUCUGGGGUCGAUUUUCCUCUUGUGGCCGCAUCCAGGAAGACAACUGUCUCCUUUGCUUUCUCUGGUCCAUGUUCAUUGUGGGACACAUGAAGAUACCAAACAGCAGAGCGACUACUUUUCUCCAUUUAAAUAGGCUGAAUGACUGAUUGCACGAUUGGAGACAUGUGUGAUACUAAUUAAAGAAAACAGCUAAUUUGAAAAAUCACUCUAAUCGAAAUAUUUAUGA
Hemicordylus capensis (graceful crag lizard) is the source of this 564-nucleotide long non-coding RNA. RefSeq lists it as uncharacterized. The record is from RefSeq and is a predicted model, not a curated record. The transcript is spliced from 3 exons. NCBI's taxonomy places the organism in Eukaryota, Metazoa, Chordata, Lepidosauria, Squamata, Cordylidae.